Thunnus maccoyii (southern bluefin tuna) is the source of this 2843-nucleotide long non-coding RNA. RefSeq lists it as uncharacterized. The record is from RefSeq and is a predicted model, not a curated record. Lineage: Eukaryota; Metazoa; Chordata; Actinopteri; Scombriformes; Scombridae. The transcript has 3 exons.
GGCAUCAAUAGUCAUCCCUACAAUACUGUCGCAAAAUCGAUAUUAAGGUAUUUGGUCAAAUAUUGUGAUACUUGAUUUUGUCCAUAUCGCCCAGCCUUUUUUUAUGUUCAUAAAUUUCUUACUGCUGAGUAUAAUAAUUUAUGUUGGUAAAAUAAACUCCUUCUGUUCCAUCAACUUUGUACUUAUACUGUAUGAAGCUUCCCCAGGAGCUCUGUUUAAGUAUUUUGGAGCUAGAGCACAACCAACGCCACUUGCCCCUGAUACUUCCCCAUGUGCCAAUGUCAGUGAUGAUCUUGCAACUGUACAUUGAGCACUGCAAUCCACCUCCCCAGCUGAUGAUAAUACAGCAGGUCCAUCCUUUGCUGCAGGAAAGGAGCACUUUCCAUCACCUGUAUCAACUGAUCCUUCUGUUUUUUCCAUGUCUUUUUCAACCUCAGCUGAUGUGGCUGGUCCUUCUACUUCUGUGGUCAUCGAUGUCACAUCUACUCCCUCAGCAACACACAUCUGCUCCCUCAGCAACUUCCAGCCUACACCAUGGAUCAGCAGCUCCUCCAGCUGACCCAGCUGAGUGGUAAUCUGUCCUGUGUGACUCAGAAAAGACUGAUUUGGUAAGCAGAGGGCCACUGCCUACAAAGGAAGACUUCACAUUCCCUAAAAAACCUGAUGGCUGAAGCUUCCACUACCACUACACGUACAGCCAAUUAAUUAAUGGGGAAAAUAUCAAGUGGAGCUGGCUCACUUAUUCAGAAAGAAAUGAUGCAGUCUACUGCUUCUGCUGCAAAAUGUUCUCCAGGAAGUCCAAAAAACUGAUAACAGAGGGACAGCGGGAUUGGGUCAAUAUAGAUGGACUACUGAAACAGCAUGAAAAUAGCCCUGAUCAUUGCAACAACAUGGUGAAAUGGAAGGGUUUUGCAUUCCGUCUUUCAAAGGGGAAAACUAUCGAUGAGACAGAAAUGGCCCUCCUGGAGGCAGAAAACAAUUGCUGGAGAGAUAUUCUUGCAGUUAAUUAGUAUUAUUCAGUCCUUGGCAGAAAGGAAUCUCGCACUCAGGGGAUCUGUUGAUACAUUACAUCAGGACAAUGGGAACUUUCUAAAAGAAGUGGAGCUGAUAGCUAAAUUUGAUCAAGUUUUGAAAGAUCAUGUGAGACGAAUUGACAGUGGAGCACAGCAUGUCACAUACAUGAUGAAAACAAUCCAAAAUGAGCUGAUAAGCUGUGUCAGUGACAAAAUAAUGGACAAAAUGGUGGCAGAAACCAAAGAUUGUAAAUAUUAUGCCAUAAUAUUGGAUUGCACCCCAGAUGUUUGUCACCAAGAACAGAUGUCUGUUGUCAUGCGCACUGUAAAUCCUGGCAAAACACCAGAGAUAAAGGAACACUUAUUGGGAUUCUCGUAGCUCCUUAAUCUACUGGUCUAGGCUUGUCCACACUAAUUCUUAACAGGCUUGAGGAAUUGAACUUCCCUUUCCAGGACUGCAGGGGACAUUCUUUUGACAACAGUGCAAACAAGUAGGGCAAAAAAAGGUGUGCAGGCCAGGCUGUUAGUGAAAAGUCCUUGUGCUAUUCAUGUGCCUUGUGGAGCACAUACCUUAAAUUUCAGAUGCUGCUAAAGUGUCCAUGGAUGCCACUUGUUUUUUUUAAAAAUGUGGAUAAACUUUACAGACUCCCUCUGGUUCUGCUCAAAGGUGGGACAUCUUGAAGAAGCAUGUGGACAUCAUACUCAAAUCCUGGAUAGCUCGCAAUGGGUGAGCUGGGUUAACAGUAUUGAACCUUCACGCUAUCAAGCAGACAAGGUGAGAGAAGCUUUGUUAGAAUUGGAUCACUUAGAUUUCAAAUUCACUGCAUGGUCUAGCAUGACAUUCUCUCCCAAAUUAAAACCAAAAGCAAGUUCCUUCAAUCAACCAAUAUGCAGCUUGAUGUGGCAGUGGGCCUCAUUCAGAAAAACAAAGACAGUUUAAUCAGUUACAGGACAACUGGUUUUAAGGAUGCAUAGGUCUCAGCAAAAGAGAUUUGUGAACAAAUGAAUACUUAGGCAGCGCUGAAGGAGAAGAGGAACACUUAUUGGGAAAAGGCACUUUGCCUACGAGGCAGCUGGUGAGCCACAAGCUGAUGCAAUGAAGAGACUGGAAUCAUACUUUUUUACUGCUGUGGUAGACUGUAGCAUCCAGUCUUUGGAGGACUGCUUUCAGUCUCUGGGAGAAGUUAGAGACAACUCCUGAAUGCUUCUCAACUUUAGGCAGCUUGAUGCACAGAUACGGAGGGACCAGUGUACGCGUCUUGGAGACAAAUUCAUCUGUGGAGAAGAGGCUGAUAUUGACGGGAGUGCACUGGCUACAUAGAUGGAGAGCCUUCCAGAACUCCCCACAGCAAAGGUGACCAUAUUUGAGCCUCUGACUUACCUCUCUCAAAAUGAGAUCUGUGAGUUGUACCCAAAUCUUUUGGUAGCUCUUCGGAUGGCCUGUACUGUCCCUGUGACACAGGGAAAGUGCAGGCUCAAAUUGAGCUCAAAAUGAUCAAGAACUACUUGAGAUCUUCCACAGCACAAGAAAGACUGAGUGGACUUGCACUAAUUAGUAUCAACAACAAAGUUGGCUGUCAGAUCUCUUACAGUGAUGUCAUAAAUGACUUUGCCUCCAGAAAAGCAAAAGCAAGCUGAGGCAGCAGAGAGCGACUGCGCUAUUGACCAACAAAAACCUGGUCUGAAAUCAAUGGCGCAGUGUCUCACUGUUAUUUUAAGGGCGCAUUAUCAAGACAGCAAUAUGCGCCUACAUAGGCGGGUGCACAACACACAUGCACUCUGCCUUUUACACACACCAGGAUGUGCAGCAGUGCACAAACAUGCAAAAGA